GAGGAGCUGCUAUCAAAUCUUCAAAUAUCUACCACUGUGGCAAACCAAGCUACAGUAAUUUGGGUUGGGAGAUGGGGGGAAUGAAGGCUGCAGGUUCUCCACUGUUAUAAUAUUGUUAUGACUGUCUCCAACAAGAUGAAACAAGUGAAGGGUCUAAUCUGACUAUGAUAUACCAUGCUUUUGGCCUAUUUUUGGUCUUUUAAGAGCAAGUAGAUUUUUGUAAGCAUCGGCAUUUUUGGAUAUCUGGAUGCGCUUUCACAGAACAGCAUCUUUCUCUGCAGUCAUUUUCUUCCAAAGGUUUCUGUAGUCUCCUACGCAAAGAAUUGUAAGGUAGUCUAUGCUCUUGGGGGCCGAAUCAAAUUAGAAAGCGGAUGAGACAUCCACGUAGCUCAUAGGGUGGGAUAAAGGAUUGGGAUGGAUGAGGUUGGGAUUAUCGCCAUCUGUUGAGUACGGGAUUGGAACAUGUCUCCUGUCUGCAUCAAGACAAAAAUAUGUUGGACUGUUCUGUUGACUUUGGAAAGUUAAACGUACACGACUUUUGUUCUUUCUUAA
This is a long non-coding RNA of Theobroma umbraticum, 552 nucleotides long. RefSeq lists it as uncharacterized. NCBI's taxonomy places the organism in Eukaryota, Viridiplantae, Streptophyta, Magnoliopsida, Malvales, Malvaceae. The record is from RefSeq and is a predicted model, not a curated record.